GGCUGGUACCAAGGUAGUGACUUAUCUCAGUUGAGUGUUCACAGGUGCAGAUCGAACUCCUUGUUCUAUUUUUUUCCCCACUUCUCACUACUGCACUUGAUUUGUCUUUA
Papio anubis (olive baboon) is the source of this 110-nucleotide Y RNA. It matches the Rfam family "Y RNA". From Rfam's summary of the family: Y RNAs are components of the Ro ribonucleoprotein particle (Ro RNP), in association with Ro60 and La proteins. The record is from Ensembl. Lineage: Eukaryota; Metazoa; Chordata; Mammalia; Primates; Cercopithecidae.